Molecule: ribosomal RNA, 497 nt
Filed under: uncultured bacterium
Lineage: Bacteria
Description: partial 16S ribosomal RNA
Rfam family: Bacterial small subunit ribosomal RNA
Source: RNAcentral
GACGAACGCUGGCGGCGUGCCUAAUACAUGCAAGUUGAGCGCUGAAGGUUGGUACUUGUACCAACUGGAUGAGCAGCGAACGGGUGAGUAACGCGUGGGGAAUCUGCCUUUGAGCGGGGGACAACAUUUGGAAACGAAUGCUAAUACCGCAUAAAAACUUUAAACACAAGUUUUAAGUUUGAAAGAUGCAAUUGCAUCACUCAAAGAUGAUCCCGCGUUGUAUUAGCUAGUUGGUGAGGUAAAGGCUCACCAAGGCGAUGAUACAUAGCCGACCUGAGAGGGUGAUCGGCCACAUUGGGACUGAGACACGGCCCAAACUCCUACGGGAGGCAGCAGUAGGGAAUCUUCGGCAAUGGACGAAAGUCUGACCGAGCAACGCCGCGUGAGUGAAGAAGGUUUUCGGAUCGUAAAACUCUGUUGGUAGAGAAGAACGUUGGUGAGAGUGGAAAGUUCAUCAAGUGACGGUAACUACCCAGAAAGGGACGGCUAACUACGUG